GAUGCUAAUACCGGAUAACAACAGAUGAUGCCUAUCAACUGUUUAAAAGAUGGUUCUGCUAUCACUCUUGGAUGGACCUGCGGUGCAUUAGCUAGUUGGUAGGGUAACGGCCUACCAAGGCGAUGAUGCAUAGCCGAGUUGAGAGACUGAUCGGCCACAUUGGGACUGAGACACGGCCCAAACUCCUACGGGAGGCAGCAGG
Molecule: ribosomal RNA, 202 nt
Filed under: uncultured Lactobacillus sp.
Lineage: Bacteria; Bacillati; Bacillota; Bacilli; Lactobacillales; Lactobacillaceae
Description: partial 16S ribosomal RNA
Rfam family: Bacterial small subunit ribosomal RNA
Source: RNAcentral